This 253-nucleotide unclassified non-coding RNA is filed under the name uncultured Pirellulaceae bacterium. RNAcentral describes it as "contains 16S-23S intergenic spacer region". It matches the Rfam family "Bacterial small subunit ribosomal RNA", at positions 524 to 776 of the family's 1533-position model. The record is from RNAcentral. Lineage: Bacteria; Pseudomonadati; Planctomycetota; Planctomycetia; Pirellulales; Pirellulaceae.
UACGGACCGGACGAACGUUAUUCGGAAUCACUGGGCUUAAAGAGUACGUAGGCGGCCCAGCAAGUUGGGUGUGAAAGCCCUCGGCUCAACCGAGGAACUGCGCCCAAAACUGCUGGACUCGAGGAAGGUAGGGGUGAGCGGAACUGAUGGUGGAGCGGUGAAAUGCGUUGAUAUCAUCAGGAACACCAGUGGCGAAGGCGGCUCACUGGACCUUCUCUGACGCUGAGGUACGAAAGCUAGGGUAGCGAACGGG